AUUAAACGCUGGCGGCAUGCCUUACACAUGCAAGUCGAACGGUAGCGCGGGGCAACCUGGCGACGAGUGGCGAACGGGUGAGUAAAGCAUCGGAACGUGCCCUGGAAUGGGGGAUAACGUAGCGAAAGUUACGCUAAUACCGCAUAUUCUGUGAGCAGGAAAGCAGGGGAUCGCAAGACCUUGCGUUCUGGGAGCGGCCGAUGUCGGAUUAGCUAGUUGGUGGGGUAAAAGCCUACCAAGGCGACGAUCCGUAGCGGGUCUGAGAGGAUGAUCCGCCACACUGGGACUGAGACACGGCCCAGACUCCUACGGGAGGCAGCAGUGGGGAAUUUUGGACAAUGGGCGGAAGCCUGAUCCAGCCAUGCCGCGUGAGUGAAGAAGGCCUCGGUUGGU
This 393-nucleotide ribosomal RNA is filed under the name uncultured bacterium. RNAcentral describes it as "bacterial SSU rRNA". It matches the Rfam family "Bacterial small subunit ribosomal RNA", at positions 29 to 427 of the family's 1533-position model. The record is from RNAcentral.